UGGGGAAUAUUGCGCAAUGGGGGAAACCCUGACGCAGCAACGCCGCGUGAGCGAUGAAGGUUUUCGGAUUGUAAAGCUCUGUCUUUGGGGAAGAUAAUGACGGUACCCAAGGAGGAAGCCCCGGCUAACUACGUGCC
This 137-nucleotide ribosomal RNA is filed under the name uncultured bacterium. RNAcentral's name for it is "partial 16S ribosomal RNA". It matches the Rfam family "Bacterial small subunit ribosomal RNA", at positions 355 to 509 of the family's 1533-position model. The record is from RNAcentral.